ACAGCCGUGAGUCAGCCCUGCCGAGCAUCGCAGGAGGAGAGAUGCGCUCCCGAGACUAAAAACAAAAACAAAGCCCCACCGAGCGUUCCCAGCGUGAGAGGGCGGUUUGUCCUCUGCCUCGUCUCGGCGGGCGCGAGGUGCCUGCUCCCGAGCCCUUUCCCCCCCCCGAGGCCCGGCGCCAUGGCUCCUUUCGCCGAGCGGAAAGCUGCGAUUCCUGCAAAUUAUCCCGGUGCCGGCAGCCAGCGCUUACGAGCGAGACCCCAAAUGCCACGAGACGUGAAAUGCACUUGGGAGAACCGCGAGGAGCAAUUUCUGUGAAGUUAUUUCACUGAUGUCUUCUCCUGAAAUUGCAGCAGCUCCAUCGGGCUACCUGCGUUCUCGAAGUCUACUAAACUACAGAAAACUGCAAAUGCUGUCUGCCAACACAAAAUCAACUCUUUGUAUGUAACGACAAAUAUAUUGUCACUUUUCAAAAGCAUA
Molecule: long non-coding RNA, 480 nt
Organism: Aptenodytes forsteri (emperor penguin)
Lineage: Eukaryota; Metazoa; Chordata; Aves; Sphenisciformes; Spheniscidae
Exons: 2
Source: RefSeq, a predicted model, not a curated record